Molecule: non-coding RNA, 102 nt
Organism: Acanthosepion pharaonis
Lineage: Eukaryota; Metazoa; Mollusca; Cephalopoda; Sepiida; Sepiidae
Source: the annotation of a GenBank genome assembly
UCCGGCUAUAUCAUGUUGAAACACUGGUUCCUAUAUGAUCACGAAAGUUAAGCAACGUCGUGCCUGAUCAGUGCCUAGAUGGGUGACUGCUUCGGAAUUCCU